ACGUCAGUCGAACCGUUGUCUAUUCUGAUAUAAAGUCACUGACAGGUGAUUUAAGACCUCAAGAGUUAUUACCAAUAUCGCCCAACUAGGUCGUGCAAAUAAUCUAGUAUCGGUGGCUUAAUAGAAAUAUGCUUCCAUUUCGUAGGAAUUCUGGAAAUUCUGGAACACGGAGAACUAAAGACAUGCAUUAAACAAAAGAUGGGCGUAUUGUUAGGCAUUCUUGAGGACCAGCCAAUGGAGAAAAAGGUGCAAAUCUUGCUGAUUGUUUUGCUUGUUUUGAUAACAAGUGCGCCGGCUGCAAAUCGUAAGUAAAAAUCAACUAAC
Molecule: long non-coding RNA, 324 nt
Organism: Nematostella vectensis (starlet sea anemone)
Lineage: Eukaryota; Metazoa; Cnidaria; Anthozoa; Actiniaria; Edwardsiidae
Exons: 3
Source: RefSeq, a predicted model, not a curated record